GGUGAGGUGGUCGAGAGGCUGAAGGCGCUCCCCUGCUAAGGGAGUAUGCGGUCAAAAGCUGCAUCCGGGGUUCGAAUCCCCGCCUCACCGCCA
This 93-nucleotide transfer RNA is filed under the name Escherichia coli. RNAcentral describes it as "tRNA-Ser". It matches the Rfam family "tRNA". From Rfam's summary of the family: Transfer RNA (tRNA) molecules are approximately 80 nucleotides in length. Their secondary structure includes four short double-helical elements and three loops (D, anti-codon, and T loops). Lineage: Bacteria; Pseudomonadati; Pseudomonadota; Gammaproteobacteria; Enterobacterales; Enterobacteriaceae. The record is from RNAcentral. RNAcentral also lists the same sequence under 5 other names.